AUUGAACGCUGGCGGUAUGCUUAACACAUGCAAGUCGAACGGUAGCAGGCCUUCGGGCGCUGACGAGUGGCGGACGGGUGAGUAACGCGUAGGAAUCUGCCUGGUAGUGGGGGGACAACGUGGGGAAACUCACGCUAAUACCGCAUACGCCCUACGGGGGGAAAGCGGGGGACCUUCGGGCCUCGCGCUAUCAGAUGAGCCUGCGUUUAGAUUAGCUAGUUGGUGCGGUAAAGGCCCUACCAAGGCGACGAUCUAUAGCUGGUCUGAGAGGACGAUCAGCCACACUGGGACUGAGACACGGCCCAGACUCCUACGGGAGGCAG
Molecule: ribosomal RNA, 323 nt
Filed under: uncultured Pseudomonadota bacterium
Lineage: Bacteria; Pseudomonadati; Pseudomonadota
Description: bacterial SSU rRNA
Rfam family: Bacterial small subunit ribosomal RNA
Source: RNAcentral